AAGGGGAACCCCAGUCUGCUUGGGAAGGGGAGGGGGGGGAGCUCAGAAAGCCAGGCCUGCCGCUCUGUGGGACAAGGCAAAGAGCUGGCUGGUGUCUGAACGCAUCACUUGGGACCCGGUUCUUCCGAGGGAAAGGUACCCUAUAAGCAUGGGCCAGUCGGCCUCAGUUUCCUGACCUGUAUUAUGGUAGAGCUGGGACUAAGAUGUCUUUCAGCUUCACAUCUCUGAAUUACACUUGUCUUUGAGGUUGGGGGGGGGGAGAGAGGAUGAGCUUUGGAGGCCGAGGAACCUUAGAGAUAGACUAGAUCCAUCACCCCCCACGGGAGGAAACAGGUCCGAGAGAGGGAAAGGGCUUUUCCGAGAUCUUCUAAAGUCAAUGGCCAAAUCAGAACCACACUGCAGUCUCCCGGCUCCCAGCUCGGGGCUCUCUCUCCAUUGAGGUUCUAGGGGCCUGGAGAUGGACUAAGAGCUUUGGGUAUUGGGGGAGGGAGGGAUGGAGAGACGCCUGGGCAGGGCUCGUUGUGGUUUCCUUGGGUGACUCAGGGUCACAUCACGCCGAGGCUAGUCAGUUUGUUCGAUGUCCUUGCUCCUGGGAUGGGGAUGGAGCCUUGGGGGGCACGUUAAAGGUGGAUUGCCUUGUUUGGGUGGGGGGGAGGAUGAGGAGAAAUGUGCAGAGAUCCAGGAAGCCCAGGACAAUUGAGGGGGGGGGGGAGACUGACAGGGCUUGGUGCAGUAAGAAAGGGGUCCCAGGUUUGGGUGGGAUGUUAGAGUGAGAAUUCUACCCUGGCCGGGAGAGCGGAGGAUGCCUAGAAUAGAGCAAGAGGUCAGGAAGGCGGAGGAUGUGCUGCCUAGAACAGAGCAAGAGGUCAGGAAGGCGGAGGAUGUGCUGCCUAGAACAGAGGCCAGAGGUCAGGAAGGUGGAGGAUGUGCUACCUAGAACAGAGGCCAGAGGUCAGGAAAGAUGCAGUGCCUGGGCUGUGUAGAGAUGGGAUGAGGGUGAGGGGGGAUCAGAAGAGGUAAGGGGGUCAGGGAGGGGACAGGCAGGACCCGGGGGUAGGGGAGGAUGCCCAGGGAAGGUCUGUCCCCUCCUUCCCCCCCCCCCUCCCCUGCAGAUCAAGGACAUGAGCCGGAGCGGCAGGUGGCAGGGCUGCAGGUGCCGGG
RNAcentral lists this long non-coding RNA (1161 nucleotides) under Sarcophilus harrisii (Tasmanian devil). RNAcentral describes it as "lncRNA (ENSSHAG00000024563.1)". Lineage: Eukaryota; Metazoa; Chordata; Mammalia; Dasyuromorphia; Dasyuridae. The record is from RNAcentral.